Molecule: long non-coding RNA, 1386 nt
Organism: Apteryx owenii (little spotted kiwi)
Lineage: Eukaryota; Metazoa; Chordata; Aves; Apterygiformes; Apterygidae
Source: Ensembl
GAAAAUACACAUGCUAAAUUCUUGCAUAAAAUUUCAUUACAGCUCUCCUGCCUUAUGCCUGUAUGUAAGAGAAACCACUUGUCAGAAAAUGGAAUGAGGAUAUGCCAAAGUUUCAAGCGGGGAUAAUGUUCAAAACAGCUUGUAAUGAAGAACCUUGUAUUAGAUAAAAGGUACCCAAAAUGAUAUAUGUUUGCAUUACAAAGAAGGGAGAGUGAAAAUGAUUGUAAACACAAGCAAAGUUCUAAGAAGAUCGACAACGAUACAUUGACUCUUCCGAAAACAGCAAGAGAUACAUUUUUUCUCUGCUACUAUUAUGCAGACUGACCUAUCUGCAGUGAAUGUUCAGAGAUAAUCUGGGAGCAGCAGGAAGGGAAGGCGAGCCAGAAGCCGAUGGGCGCCCACAACACCGGCAGGGCAGUGACCUCACCGACUAAGGUGAGGACCCGAGCAAGGCGAGCAGGGCAGGGCUGGUAACAGUGACCAGAGUCAGCCACAGCCCAGUAAUCGCUGAACAAGUCCGUAGUGAUGAGACAGGUCCAAGGUCAAGCCAGGAAGUCAAGUCAGUGGGACAAGGUCAAGAUCUGCAAGGUCUAAUUUCACUGUACAAUGUGUAAAUUGAAAAUAGAGUUUUUCACUGAAAUCAUUCUGACCUAGUCUGAGCAAAAGUAUGGUUUGUCCAGCCAUGGUACCUUAACUUUACAGUCUCCUGAAGGGAUAGGCUUCAGGCACAGUUUCUCUACAGGUAGUUUGCACUGGUAGCACUUACCCACUUUCCCACAUUUUCAUAGGCUGGUACAUAUAUAAUUACAUUCACACUUCAGAUCUGUUAUACUUUUUUUUUUUAUCCAAGUACAGUGGUACAAGUUUUAUGCGUAAAAAAGUAUUUUUAAGUCUCUUUUCCAUAGCCUUGCUUUCAGUUACCUCCUGCCUGCAACUCAUCUUGUAAGGAAGGGAAGUAUCAGACUGCUUCAUUAUCUCUAGAUAGGUAAUAUAAGUAGAAGAGUCAUAAGUGUUCUUAAGAAGAAUUAAACAAUUUUUUUAGUCAUUAAUAAUAAGUAAAUAAUCAUAGAGUUGGUAAGAAUUGAAGAUCUAGUGUAUUCCAGCAUUAUUUUUGAAUAACCACAGACCUAGCUGCUUCUAGCUUCAUUGGCAGGCAUGAAACACCUUUUUUCACUAAAGAUGUAAGGACCCAUUUUACCAGGCAUGGGGUUGAAAGCACAAACUCAGAUUAACAGCAUAACUUUACCAUCUGAUAAAGCUAGCAAGCUCUUAUAUUAUAUGCUAAUCAGCUAGCUGAAGGAGAUACAAAAUAUUUGGCCAGAUAAAAUAUGCACAAAGAAACAUAUAUAAAGAAACUAUUAAUAAAAACACAUUUUUUCAAAAUCA